This 332-nucleotide ribosomal RNA is filed under the name Myzus persicae (green peach aphid). Its description in RNAcentral is "partial 12S ribosomal RNA". Lineage: Eukaryota; Metazoa; Arthropoda; Insecta; Hemiptera; Aphididae. The record is from RNAcentral.
AAACCAGGGAUAGAUACCCUAUUAUAAAAAUUUAAAUUAAUUUACUAAAAAAUUAAUAGUUAUGUUCUUUAAAUUUAAAAAAUUUGGCGGUAUUUUAGUCUUAUUAGAGGAACCUGUUUUUUAAUUGAUAAUCCACGAUUUAUUUUACUUAUUUUAAUAAUUCAUAUAUCGCUGUCAUGAAUAUAUUAAAAAAUUUAUUUUCUUUAUUUAUUUUUGUAAUUUAUGUUAAGUCAAGAUGUGGUUUAUAAAUAAGUAUUUAAUGGGUUACAUUAAAUUUUAUUUAUGGAUUUUAAAUGAAAAUUAAAAUGAAAUUGGAUUUAAUAGUAAAUUUA